UACGGAAGGCAGCAGUGGGGAAUAUUGCACAAUGGGCGCAAGCCUGAUGCAGCCAUGCCGCGUGUAUGAAGAAGGCCUUCGGGUUGUAAAGUACUUUCAGCGGGGAGGAAGGGAGUAAAGUUAAUACCUUUGCUCAUUGACGUUACCCGCAGAAGAAGCACCGGCUAACUCCGUGCCAGCAGCCGCGGUAAUACGGAGGGUGCAAGCGUUAAUCGGAAUUACUGGGCGUAAAGCGCACGCAGGCGGUUUUGUUAAGUCAGAUGUGAAAUCCCCGGGCUCAACCUGGGAACUGCAUCUGAUACUGGCAAGCUUGAGUCUCGUAGAGGGGGUAGAAUUCCAGGUGUAGCGGUGAAAUGCGUAGAGAUCUGGAGGAAUACCGGUGGCGAAGGCGGCCCCUGGGACGAAGACUGACGCUCAGGUGCGAAAGCGUGGGGAGCAAACGAGGAUUAGGAUACC
RNAcentral lists this ribosomal RNA (456 nucleotides) under uncultured bacterium. RNAcentral's name for it is "bacterial SSU rRNA". It matches the Rfam family "Bacterial small subunit ribosomal RNA", at positions 340 to 786 of the family's 1533-position model. The record is from RNAcentral.